RNAcentral lists this non-coding RNA (219 nucleotides) under Staphylococcus sp. 8AQ. RNAcentral describes it as "glmS". It matches the Rfam family "glmS glucosamine-6-phosphate activated ribozyme aptamer". Rfam says of the family: This entry contains a glucosamine-6-phosphate activated ribozyme that is found in the mRNA for GlmS. Lineage: Bacteria; Bacillati; Bacillota; Bacilli; Caryophanales; Staphylococcaceae. The record is from RNAcentral.
CAAUAUUACAAAGCGCCUGUGCAAGCUAUUAAUGACAUGUGAGGAUUAGAAAUUAAAUCUAUUUGUAUAAAUUUCUAUAGCGUACAUUUAUAACUUGUAGACGAGGAGGAUAGUGAUCGAAUAGAUCGGCGGAUGCUAUCCCGGAUGUGGCUCAUUCGUUAGCUUAUUAAGUAAAACAGUAGGGUAACCUAUUGGACAAAGUUAAUAAGAUCGCCAAUU